Molecule: ribosomal RNA, 451 nt
Filed under: uncultured bacterium
Lineage: Bacteria
Description: partial 16S ribosomal RNA
Rfam family: Bacterial small subunit ribosomal RNA
Source: RNAcentral
UGGGGAAUAUUGCACAAUGGGCGAAAGCCUGAUGCAGCAACGCCGCGUGAGGGACGACGGCCUUCGGGUUGUAAACCUCUUUUAGCAAGGAAGAAGCGAAAGUGACGGUACUUGCAGAAAAAGCGCCGGCUAACUACGUGCCAGCAGCCGCGGUAAUACGUAGGGCGCAAGCGUUAUCCGGAAUUAUUGGGCGUAAAGAGCUCGUAGGCGGUUUGUCGCGUCUGCUGUGAAAAACCCGAGGCUCAACCUCGGGGCCUGCAGUGGGUACGGGCAGACUAGAGUGCGGUAGGGGAGAUUGGAACUCCUGGUGUAGCGGUGGAAUGCGCAGAUAUCAGGAAGAACACCGAUGGCGAAGGCAGAUCUCUGGGCCGUAACUGACGCUGAGGAGCGAAAGGGUGGGGAGCAAACAGGCUUAGAUGACCCUGGUAGUCCACCCCGUAAACGUUGGGAA